CGUCAAAGAUGAUGAGAAGGAGUUGCUUUCAAAGGAAUACGAAGAGAGAAUUUCAGAACUCAUCAAGAAUUUGAAGAUCAAAGAUGAUGAGAAAGAGCUACUUUCAAAGGAAUACGAAGAGAAAAUUUCAGAACUCAACAAGAAUUCAAAAAUCAAAGAUAAUGAGAAAGAGCUACUUUCAAAGGAAUACGAAGAGAAAAUUUCAGAACAAAUCAAGAAUAUGAAGAUCAAAGAUGAUGAGAAAGAGCUACUUUCAAAGGAAUACGAAGAGAAAAUUUCAGAACUCAACAAGAAUUUGAAAAUCAAAGAUGGUGAGAAAGAGCUACUUUCAAAGGAAUACGAAGAGAAAAUUUCAGAACUCAUCAAGAAUUCAAAAAUCAAAGAUAAUGAGAAAGAGCUACUUUCAAAGGAAUACAAAGAGAGAAUUUCAGAACUCAUCAAGAAUUUGAAGAUCAAAGAUGAUGAGAAAGAGCUACUUUCAAAGGAAUACGAAGAGAAAAUUUCAGAACAAAUCAAGAAUUCGAAGAUCAAAGAUGAUGAGAAAGAACUACUUUCAAAGGAAUACGAAGAGAAAAUUUCAGAACAAAUCAAGAAUAUGAAGAUCAAAGAUGAUGAGAAAGAGCUACUUUCAAAGGAAUACGAAGAGAAAAUUUCAGAACUCAUCAAGAAUCUGAAGAUCAAAGAUGAUGAGAAAGAGCUGCUUUCAAAGGAAUACGAAGAGAAAAUUUCAGAAGCCGUCAAAAAUGU
This 747-nucleotide long non-coding RNA is filed under the name Zostera marina. RNAcentral's name for it is "long non-coding RNA (ZMAR_LNC002988)". The record is from RNAcentral. Lineage: Eukaryota; Viridiplantae; Streptophyta; Magnoliopsida; Alismatales; Zosteraceae.